AACGUAGGUCACAAGCGUUGUCCGGAAUUACUGGGUGUAAAGGGAGCGCAGGCGGGAGAACAAGUUGGAAGUGAAAUCCAUGGGCUCAACCCAUGAACUGCUUUCAAAACUGUUUUUCUUGAGUAGUGCAGAGGUAGGCGGAAUUCCCGGUGUAGCGGUGGAAUGCGUAGAUAUCGGGAGGAACACCAGUGGCGAAGGCGGCCUACUGGGCAUCAACUGACGCUGAGACUCGAAAGUGUGGGUAGCAAACAGG
This 253-nucleotide ribosomal RNA is filed under the name Faecalibacterium prausnitzii. Its description in RNAcentral is "partial 16S ribosomal RNA". It matches the Rfam family "Bacterial small subunit ribosomal RNA", at positions 524 to 776 of the family's 1533-position model. The record is from RNAcentral. Lineage: Bacteria; Bacillati; Bacillota; Clostridia; Eubacteriales; Oscillospiraceae.